CCAUGAAGCUGGAUUCGCUAGUAAUCGCGCAUCAGCCACGGCGCGGUGAAUACGUUCCCGGGCCUUGUACACACCGCCGUCAAGCCAUGGGAGCCGGGAGUGCCUGAAGUACGUGACCGCAAGGAGCGUCCCAGGGUAAGACCGGUGACUGGGGCUAAGUCGUAACAAGGUAGC
This 174-nucleotide ribosomal RNA is filed under the name uncultured bacterium. Its description in RNAcentral is "partial 16S ribosomal RNA". It matches the Rfam family "Bacterial small subunit ribosomal RNA", at positions 1318 to 1500 of the family's 1533-position model. The record is from RNAcentral.